Molecule: long non-coding RNA, 1327 nt
Organism: Herpailurus yagouaroundi (jaguarundi)
Lineage: Eukaryota; Metazoa; Chordata; Mammalia; Carnivora; Felidae
Exons: 2
Source: RefSeq, a predicted model, not a curated record
GGUGGCCUGACGGGGAAGUUCCCUGCAGCAUCGUCAGCGCAGAGCCCGGAAACGGCCGGGACGUCGUGUGAUCUUGGCGCGUAAAGGCAUUGUUGGAACUGCAGGCGUGGAUGCUCGCAGGUGCUACCGACUGACCCCUUUCUCUGUACCAAACGCUGCAGAGAAGGCUCUCUCUGCACGUGUGACUUGCAUUUGCCACAACUCACGACGCGGAUUUGGUUAUUGCCCUAAUUUUGCAGGGAGCUCCGUGUUCUGGUGCUGGUGACCGACGAGGUGGACAAAGUGGGUUGGAAAACCCGCAUCGGGAAGGACGACAGGCCGGCAACAGCCCCACCGCCUCUCUUGCCGUAUCGACCGCGCACCUGCAAUUAACCACACCGAGACUUAACAAAUCUGCAAGCCACAUUUCUUUCGGCGGCAGCGUGGAAGGCUUUUGCCAGCUCCUAGCUGCGUAAAUGAGAACAAUGCGCUGUUUUUAAAAAGGACGUUUUAAAACCUGCGGACACUUGAAUGAACAUCCAGCUUGGAGCCCCACAGAAGACAGAGACGCUGGCUGCGUGCCCCGUUAACACCCCUCGCUCCUCUGCUGUGGUGGGAGCCACCACUGGCCUCUCCAAGGCGUUCUAGAAAGAACAGUGGUUUUUGUUUUUUUUUUUGGCGGGGGGGGGGGGUGUCAAACUCACCACCCGGAGAGCAAGUGUCGCGUGCUCUGCCCGCCGAGCCAGCCAGGCGCCCCGAGAGACAGCAGUGUUACAAAACAGGGGUUUGCCUUCAACACCUCAUCCUCAUCCAGAUUGGACGCCCCAAAUUCCCACCGCAGCCCACGCAGCGAGGUUGCGGCGCAAUCGCUGCAAACUGCUUUCUCGUAAAAAUAGAAAGAAAAUGUUGGCUGCAGCUGCAGUUAAUUUACUUCUGAUGAGUCUAACCUUUCCUUCUCGGAGGAAGUUGUUUAGCGGGAGGGGAAAAUCGGUCACAAUAUUGUCUUAUGACUGUUUAUCUUGUGAGCCCAAGUGAUACUGAUUGCAAAUAUUUAUGCGCAUUUUUAAAAAUCUCAGCUAACGUUUGGAAUGCUUUUUUUUUUUUUUAAGAAGAGUGAAAUCAGAUUUCAGGUGGAUUUAGCAAUUUUGGAGGAUUUCAAAGUCGUAACCAAGCUUCCUCUACCGGCCCGCUGGCCCAUUAAUCGCCUAAAUACAGCAAUUAGGCAAACAUGAUCAAAAUACAGAAUCUUACCAUUUUGUUUGGCUUGGGAAGUCUUGUCUUGGUUUUAAAUGAACAUUAUUAAUGACUAGUCUAGAAAUUGAAGUCGUCCUCUUGGCUUAGGUUACAU